RNAcentral lists this ribosomal RNA (333 nucleotides) under Triticum aestivum (bread wheat). Its description in RNAcentral is "partial small subunit ribosomal RNA". The record is from RNAcentral. Lineage: Eukaryota; Viridiplantae; Streptophyta; Magnoliopsida; Poales; Poaceae.
AUGCACUCCUCGCAGCCGCCACCUACCUCCCGCCCUGCUCGAGGGUGGAGCCCGAGCCUCCACUGGAGCAUGGAUCAGACGUGCAGGAGGUGGAGCUCCGCAUGGAUUACGACGUGGUCGUCGUGGGGGCCUGGAUCAUCAAGUCCGCAGGCGGCGUCGAGGGCGGUGCAAUGCCAGCUGCUGGACAUAGUUCACCCUGGGUUGGUGCUGAUGCACAAGGUGAAUUUUGAUGCCAAGACGGAGUACGACAUGAUCCAGAACUACGGGAUUCUCCUGGAUGUGUUCAACAAGUUGCAGAUAGGCAAGGUACGGGUGGUGAUUCUCCUGGCUUAG